Molecule: ribosomal RNA, 468 nt
Filed under: uncultured bacterium
Lineage: Bacteria
Description: partial 16S ribosomal RNA
Rfam family: Bacterial small subunit ribosomal RNA
Source: RNAcentral
GACGAACGCUGGCGGCGUGCUUAACACAUGCGAGUCGAACGGAAAGGCCCUGCUUUUGUGGGGUGCUCGAGUGGCGAACGGGUGAGUAACACGUGAGUAACCUGCCCUUGACUUUGGGAUAACUUCAGGAAACUGGGGCUAAUACCGGAUAGGAGCUCCUGCUGCAUGGUGGGGGUUGGAAAGUUUCGGCGGUUGGGGAUGGACUCGCGGCUUAUCAGCUUGUUGGUGGGGUAGUGGCUUACCAAGGCUUUGACGGGUAGCCGGCCUGAGAGGGUGACCGGCCACAUUGGGACUGAGAUACGGCCCAGACUCCUACGGGAGGCAGCAGUGGGGAAUAUUGCACAAUGGGCGGAAGCCUGAUGCAGCAGCGCCGCGUGCGGGAUGACGGCCUUCGGGUUGUAAACCGCUUUCGCCUGUGACGAAGCGUGAGUGACGGUAAUGGGUAAAGAAGCACCGGCUAACUACGUG